UACGUAGGGUCCAAGCGUUGUCCGGAUUUAUUGGGCGUAAAGAGCUCGUAGGCGGUUCCGUAAGUCGGAUGUGAAAACUCGGGGCUCAACCCCGAGACGCCAUCCGAUACUGCGGUGACUUGAGUCUGGUAGGGGAACACGGAAUUCCUGGUGUAGCGGUGAAAUGCGCAGAUAUCAGGAAGAACACCCGUGGCGAAGGCGGCUCUCUGGGACGGUACUGACGCUGAGACGCGAAAGCGUGGGGAGCGAACAGG
This 254-nucleotide ribosomal RNA is filed under the name uncultured bacterium. RNAcentral describes it as "partial 16S ribosomal RNA". It matches the Rfam family "Bacterial small subunit ribosomal RNA", at positions 524 to 776 of the family's 1533-position model. The record is from RNAcentral.